RNAcentral lists this ribosomal RNA (460 nucleotides) under uncultured bacterium. RNAcentral describes it as "bacterial SSU rRNA". It matches the Rfam family "Bacterial small subunit ribosomal RNA", at positions 29 to 531 of the family's 1533-position model. The record is from RNAcentral.
AACGAACGCUGGCGGCAUGCCUAACACAUGCAAGUCGAACGAGACCUUCGGGUCUAGUGGCGCACGGGUGCGUAACGCGUGGGAAUCUGCCCUUGGGUUCGGAAUAACAGUUAGAAAUGACUGCUAAUACCGGAUGAUGUCUUCGGACCAAAGAUUUAUCGCCCAGGGAUGAGCCCGCGUAGGAUUAGGUAGUUGGUGGGGUAAUGGCCCACCAAGCCGACGAUCCUUAGCUGGUCUGAGAGGAUGAUCAGCCACACUGGGACUGAGACACGGCCCAGACUCCUACGGGAGGCAGCAGUGGGGAAUAUUGGACAAUGGGCGAAAGCCUGAUCCAGCAAUGCCGCGUGAGUGAUGAAGGCCUUAGGGUUGUAAAGCUCUUUUACCAGGGAUGAUAAUGACAGUACCUGGAGAAUAAAGCUCCGGCUAACUCCGUGCCAGCAGCCGCGGUAAAGUCUGUACU